Molecule: ribosomal RNA, 312 nt
Filed under: Chloropicon mariensis
Lineage: Eukaryota; Viridiplantae; Chlorophyta; Chloropicophyceae; Chloropicales; Chloropicaceae
Description: partial Bacterial small subunit ribosomal RNA
Rfam family: Bacterial small subunit ribosomal RNA
Source: RNAcentral
CAGUGGGGAAUAUUGCACAAUGGGGGAAACCCUGAUGCAGCGACGCCGCGUGAAGGAAGAAGUAUCUCGGUAUGUAAACUUCUAUCAGCAGGGAAGAAAAUGACGGUACCUGACUAAGAAGCCCCGGCUAACUACGUGCCAGCAGCCGCGGUAAUACGUAGGGGGCAAGCGUUAUCCGGAUUUACUGGGUGUAAAGGGAGCGUAGACGGCAUGGCAAGCCAGAUGUGAAAGCCCGGGGCUCAACCCCGGGACUGCAUUUGGAACUGUCAGGCUAGAGUGUCGGAGAGGAAAGCGGAAUUCCUAGUGUAGCGG